RNAcentral lists this ribosomal RNA (251 nucleotides) under uncultured prokaryote. RNAcentral describes it as "partial 16S ribosomal RNA". It matches the Rfam family "Bacterial small subunit ribosomal RNA", at positions 524 to 774 of the family's 1533-position model. The record is from RNAcentral.
UACGGAGGAUGCAAGCGUUAUCCGGAUUCAUUGGGUUUAAAGGGUGCGUAGGCGGGCUAUUAAGUCAGUGGUGAAAUCCUGCAGCUUAACUGCAGAACUGCCGUUGAUACUGAUAGUCUUGAGUUUGGUUAAGGUAGGCGGAAUGUGUAAUGUAGCGGUGAAAUGCUUAGAUAUUACACAGAACACCAAUUGCGUAGGCAGCUUACUGAGCCGACACUGACGCUGAGGCACGAAAGCGUGGGGAGCAAGCA